RNAcentral lists this ribosomal RNA (1371 nucleotides) under uncultured bacterium. RNAcentral's name for it is "bacterial SSU rRNA". It matches the Rfam family "Bacterial small subunit ribosomal RNA", at positions 28 to 1381 of the family's 1533-position model. The record is from RNAcentral.
GAUGAACGCUGGCGGCGCGCCUAAUACAUGCAAGUCGAGCGAACGGACGAGAAGCUUGCUUCUCUGAUGUUAGCGGCGGACGGGUGAGUAACACGUGGAUAACCUACCUAUAAGACUGGGAUAACUUCGGGAAACCGGAGCUAAUACCGGAUAAUAUUUUGAACCGCAUGGUUCAAAAGUGAAAGACGGUCUUGCUGUCACUUAUAGAUGGAUCCGCGCUGCAUUAGCUAGUUGGUAAGGUAACGGCUUACCAAGGCAACGAUGCAUAGCCGACCUGAGAGGGUGAUCGGCCACACUGGAACUGAGACACGGUCCAGACUCCUACGGGAGGCAGCAGUAGGGAAUCUUCCGCAAUGGGCGAAAGCCUGACGGAGCAACGCCGCGUGAGUGAUGAAGGUCUUCGGAUCGUAAAACUCUGUUAUUAGGGAAGAACAUAUGUGUAAGUAACUGUGCACAUCUUGACGGUACCUAAUCAGAAAGCCACGGCUAACUACGUGCCAGCAGCCGCGGUAAUACGUAGGUGGCAAGCGUUAUCCGGAAUUAUUGGGCGUAAAGCGCGCGUAGGCGGUUUUUUAAGUCUGAUGUGAAAGCCCACGGCUCACCGUGGAGGGUCAUUGGAAACUGGAAAACUUGAGUGCAGAAGAGGAAAGUGGAAUUCCAUGUGUAGCGGUGAAAUGCGCAGAGAUAUGGAGGAACACCAGUGGCGAAGGCGACUUUCUGGUCUGUAACUGACGCUGAUGUGCGAAAGCGUGGGGAUCAAACAGGAUUAGAUACCCUGGUAGUCCACGCCGUAAACGAUGAGUGCUAAGUGUUAGGGGGUUUCCGCCCCUUAGUGCUGCAGCUAACGCAUUAAGCACUCCGCCUGGGGAGUACGACCGCAAGGUUGAAACUCAAAGGAAUUGACGGGGACCCGCACAAGCGGUGGAGCAUGUGGUUUAAUUCGAAGCAACGCGAAGAACCUUACCAAAUCUUGACAUCCUUUGACAACUCUAGAGAUAGAGCCUUCCCCUUCGGGGGACAAAGUGACAGGUGGUGCAUGGUUGUCGUCAGCUCGUGUCGUGAGAUGUUGGGUUAAGUCCCGCAACGAGCGCAACCCUUAAGCUUAGUUGCCAUCAUUAAGUUGGGCACUCUAAGUUGACUGCCGGUGACAAACCGGAGGAAGGUGGGGAUGACGUCAAAUCAUCAUGCCCCUUAUGAUUUGGGCUACACACGUGCUACAAUGGACAAUACAAAGGGCAGCGAAACCGCGAGGUCAAGCAAAUCCCAUAAAGUUGUUCUCAGUUCGGAUUGUAGUCUGCAACUCGACUACAUGAAGCUGGAAUCGCUAGUAAUCGUAGAUCAGCAUGCUACGGUGAAUACGUUCCCGGGUCU